RNAcentral lists this ribosomal RNA (486 nucleotides) under uncultured bacterium. RNAcentral's name for it is "bacterial SSU rRNA". It matches the Rfam family "Bacterial small subunit ribosomal RNA", at positions 28 to 497 of the family's 1533-position model. The record is from RNAcentral.
GAUGAACGCUAGCGGCAGGCUUAAUACAUGCAAGUCGAGGGGCAUCAAGGUACACGAAAGUGUAUUGUUGGCGACCGGCGGACGGGUGAGUAAUAGGUAGGUAACCUACCUCAUACUGAGGCAUAGCUGGGAGAAAUUCCAGGUAAUUCCUCAUGAGGUUAUAUGACACAUGUGAUAUAAUCAAAGGUAUCGCAAGGUACUGGUAUGAGAUGGGCUUACUGACCAUUAGCUAGUUGGUGAGAUAAGAGCUCACCAAGGCGAAGAUGGUUAGGGGUUUUGAGAGAGAGAUCCCCCACAUUGGAACUGAGAUACGGUCCAGACUCCUACGGGAGGCAGCAGUAGGGAAUAUUGGGCAAUGGGCGGAAGCCUAGACCCAGCCAUGCCGCGUGAAGGAAGACGGCCUUAUGGUUGUAAACUUCUUUACUAUGCGACUAACUAGAUUUACGAGAUAAUUCUAUAGAAUGUAGCAUAGACAAAAGCACCGGA